This is a long non-coding RNA of Perognathus longimembris pacificus (Pacific pocket mouse), 420 nucleotides long. RefSeq lists it as uncharacterized. NCBI's taxonomy places the organism in Eukaryota, Metazoa, Chordata, Mammalia, Rodentia, Heteromyidae. The record is from RefSeq and is a predicted model, not a curated record. The transcript has 3 exons.
CAGGGCUUCAUGUGGGCUUCUCAUAACAUCAGUAUGAUCUGAAGAUGACUUUUGAAGUUUCAAAGUCAUCACCAAAGUACCAAUAGGUACAGGGAACAACCUGGAUUUAGUUUGUUUCUGAUAACAAACGGAGAGUUUUAGGAAAAUUGCAAGUAUAAAAGAAGAGUGCACCACUGCUAAUUUCAUAGCUAAUGAAAAUAUUAGAUUAUGAUCUCAGCUAGCUUGCUUUUUUCUUUUCUUUCUUUCUCUUUCAUGCUGGUAUUGGGGCAUGAAUUCAGGGCCUGGGUGCUGGUCCCUUAGCUUUUUUGCUCAAGGCUGGUGCUCUACUACUUGAGCCAUAGCACUACUUCCAGCUCUUUUGGUGGUUAAUUGGAGAUUGGAAAAGUUUUGUAGACUUUUCCACUUGAGAUGGCUUUGAAC